UCUCCCAUCCAAGUGCUAACCAGGUCUGACCCUGCUUAGCUUCUGAGAUCAGAUGAGAUUGUGUGCAUUCAGGGUG
RNAcentral lists this small RNA (76 nucleotides) under Cricetulus griseus (Chinese hamster). The record is from RNAcentral. Lineage: Eukaryota; Metazoa; Chordata; Mammalia; Rodentia; Cricetidae.